CCUCCCGCCACCCGAUUGGCUGUCGCUCUACGGCCGGCCGGCCCUCCCCUCCUCCCAUUGGCAGGCAGAGCCGUCGCUCCGCGCCGGGUAGAACGGGGCGGGGGAGCGGCGGGGCGCUGGCGGCACGCGGGAGUUCGGCGCUGACAGGGAGGCGCGCGGAGGCGCUGCGGGACGGGCCGGGCACCUCCUGCCCGCGGCAGGUGAGCUCAGCGAGACCAGUUUAAGCAGUGCUGCAGAGGAGAAGAUCAUGGAUGCAAGAAGAUGCCUCAUUUCAGAACACCCAAACAUGAAGAUUUUAUGAACGUCAUUGGGGAUCCUUUGCUGGAGCUGUUGUGUGCUGCCCGCUGCAGCGCAGCCCUCUGUGACCCCUUGCCUCCAAGGAUGGAAUCUGUGAGUCUUUUCCAUCCUGAACUUGAGAGCUGGCGUGCAGGAGGAAUGGAUCUCGUCUGUCUGCUGUGA
This 459-nucleotide long non-coding RNA is filed under the name Numida meleagris (helmeted guineafowl). Its description in RNAcentral is "lncRNA (ENSNMEG00000016784.1)". The record is from RNAcentral. Lineage: Eukaryota; Metazoa; Chordata; Aves; Galliformes; Numididae.